UACGGAGGGUGCGAGCGUUAAUCGGAAUCACUGGGCGUAAAGCGUGCGUAGGCGGUUUGGCAAGUCAGGUGUGAAAGCCCUCGGCUCAACCGAGGAACUGCACUUGAAACUGCCAGACUGGAGUUCGGGAGAGGGUAGCGGAAUUCCGGGUGUAGGGGUGAAAUCCGUAGAUAUCCGGAGGAACACCGGUGGCGAAGGCGGCUACCUGGACCGAUACUGACGCUGAGGUACGAAAGCGUGGGGAGCAAACAGG
This 253-nucleotide ribosomal RNA is filed under the name uncultured bacterium. RNAcentral's name for it is "partial 16S ribosomal RNA". It matches the Rfam family "Bacterial small subunit ribosomal RNA", at positions 524 to 776 of the family's 1533-position model. The record is from RNAcentral.